Molecule: ribosomal RNA, 253 nt
Filed under: uncultured bacterium
Lineage: Bacteria
Description: partial 16S ribosomal RNA
Rfam family: Bacterial small subunit ribosomal RNA
Source: RNAcentral
UACGGGGGGGGCAAGCGUUGUUCGGAAUUACUGGGCGUAAAGGGCUCGUAGGCGGCCAACUAAGUCAUACGUGAAAUCCCUCGGCUUAACCGGGGAACUGCGUCUGAUACUGGAUGGCUUGAGAUUGGGAGAGGGAUGUGGAAUUCCAGGUGUAGCGGUGAAAUGCGUAGAUAUCUGGAGGAACACCGGUGGCGAAGGCGGCAUCCUGGACCGGUAUUGACGCUGAGGCGCGAAAGCCAGGGGAGCAAACGGG